GCAUCUGGGGAUGGAUGCUUACACUCAGAACCAAUGGUUCACAACUCAGACACCCCUAGUUUUAGAAAACCAAGCAUCCUCUUCAACUCCUCACUGGGCUUAUCCCAUGAACCCUUCAAAUGUGCAUGGGAACCCAGUGAUCAACCUGAUGCCUUUCUACCCUCCACACCAUAUGGGCUAGGUAUUUGCUUCAUGGUUCCAAUCACUCCACUCCUUUAACCCACUCUCCUCAUAUGCAAGUCAUCUCAGUCCGAUGGACAACUUCAG
Molecule: long non-coding RNA, 267 nt
Filed under: Nicotiana benthamiana
Lineage: Eukaryota; Viridiplantae; Streptophyta; Magnoliopsida; Solanales; Solanaceae
Description: long non-coding RNA (NBEN_LNC023215)
Source: RNAcentral